GAUGAACGCUGGCGGCGUGCCUAAUACAUGCAAGUCGAGCGAACAGACGAGGCGCUUGCUCCUCUGACGUUAGCGGCGGACGGGUGAGUAACACGUGGAUAACCUCCCUAUAAGACUGGUAUAACUUCGGGAAACCGGCGCUAAUACCGGAUAAUCUAUUGAACCGCAUGGUUGAAUAGUGAAAGACGGUUUUGCUGUCACUUAUAGAUGGAUCCGCGCCGCAUUAGCUAGUUGGUACGGUAAAGGCUUACCAAGGCAACGAUGCGUAGCCGACCUGAGAGGGUGAUCGGCCACACUGGAACUGAGACACGGUCCAGACGCCUACGGGAGGCAGCAGUAGGGAAUCGUACGCAAAGGGCGAGAGCCUGACGGAGCAACGCCGCGUGAGUGAUGAAGGUCUUCGGAGCGUAAAACUCUGUUAUUAGGGAAGAACAAAUGUGUAAUUAACUAUGCACGUCUUGACGGUACCUAGUCAGAAAGCCACGGCUAACUACGUG
Molecule: ribosomal RNA, 497 nt
Filed under: uncultured bacterium
Lineage: Bacteria
Description: partial 16S ribosomal RNA
Rfam family: Bacterial small subunit ribosomal RNA
Source: RNAcentral